UGAUCCAUCAUCUUCCUGGUUC
Molecule: non-coding RNA, 22 nt
Filed under: Arabidopsis thaliana (thale cress)
Lineage: Eukaryota; Viridiplantae; Streptophyta; Magnoliopsida; Brassicales; Brassicaceae
Source: RNAcentral